UCUCACCAAGUGCUCCAUAAGUUGAAUGUUUCAUAAAUAGGUUUCGCCUCGGUGACCAAGGAAGUGCAGCAGUUUAGGAAUGCCAAUCUCUUAAAGCACACAGUACAAAAAAAAAUAAUGAUAUUCCAUGAGCCAUGGAUAUGCAUGCACUGUGUCAACUUGCAGUACCAGGGAAUCUGUGACACUGGCACAACUCUUAAUUUAGUUUCCACCGCAAAAUGCCACGGUUCAUAACAGCCGUGCAUGGUGGCUACUCAGCUCUGGAGGCCAAAGUCUGGGUGGUUACAAGUUCAAGGUUAGCCUAGAUAAAAUGGUGAUUUCUUUUUAACUCAACAAUGAGAACAAAGCCGAAUUAUGAACCAGUAAAGGCAGUCACUGAACUGGCAACUCACUAGCACUGACGUGAGCAUUCUCUUCGGAUCUAGUGGAGACUUCAGUGUUUGAUAGAUAGAAAUAGAUAUGGUCUAGGUUAUUCUGACAGCUCAUCCUUGGUUCUUUAGCCAUCUUUUGCGAUGUCCCAAAACUGGACAAGAACCAUGGAGAAGAGAGCGAUGGCCUGUAUAGUAUCUAGAAAAAAUAAACUCACAUCUCGCCUUUUCUCCAUCUCUGAGGUAAAUGGGACUUUGGGCCCAGAGGGUGUAUGUAGUGUAUCACCUCAGCGCUCUCUUUGCCUUUUCGUGUUCAGACACUGGAAGUAACUUGACCCCUCUCCAUCCUCACUGGACAGCUGCCAGAAUGAGACUCGGCUUUCUUUCCCGUGUGCUCCGGAAAGCCACCUACCACUCAGAGGGACUCUUUGACAUGCUCCCGACUUGAAGGACAAAUGAAAUUGGCAUUUUUUUUUUUUUUAAAUCUGAAGGCAAAACAAAGGAGUCAGAAACACGACACCGCAAGACCGGGCACUUAUCUGUCCUCCCAGUGAAAAAGGAGGCUUGGGGCUCAAAGGAUUCUGCAAUUGCAUUUCCAGGAGCGGUUUAGUAGAUUUCUCCCCCUCUCUUUGUGGGGGUCAGCCACAGGAGGUGACUGUCUGUCCCUUCUCAGAUGCAAAGAUUCCUUUGUGAGCAACCCCACACAGGGCAGAGAGAGAGAGAGAGAGAGAGAGAGAGAGAGAGAGAGAGAGAGAGAGAGAGACUAACACAGUGUUCCUGACAUCUGCUCUCCUUGGGUGUCAUGGUCAGCGGCAGAUUGGGAAGCAAAGUUUUGUCUUUUCAGCAACAUGGUACCUAAAGCUAGUCGUUCGAGCAUUUGCUGAGUUCUGCUACGGACAGUCUAACAGGCACAAAGGGAAUUGCAGGGACAUGUGAGACAGGGAGACUGCAUGCUAGCUCUCCAGGGGCUCUUUGCCUUACAGGUGAAAGGUUAAAUAUAUUGAUUCCCAUCUUUUAAUUUUUUUCAGAAUCCCACCCAAACUUCUCCAGCCAUCCUUCCUGGCCAACUAAUGGCUCUCACCUCGACUCUGUGUCCCCACAAGACUUAGGUCCUCCACUUUUCUAUUGUUUGAACUUGGCAGCAGUGUUUUUUGUGUGUGUGUGUGCAUGAUCCAACUAGUUUCUCAGCAUCAGGGGGACGGGCUUUCCAGCUUCUUGGUCCCUCACGUCCUUCUUUGCACAGUUGUUACUUUUGUGGCUCUAACACUAUACAUACUUACUAAGCGAAGUCUUGGUGGCCAAUGCUGAGGACAUCUGCUCAGAUGCCACUCCAAGUAUGUCCCGGCUCUCUCCCUCACAGAUUAAGUUCCUAAAAGUUCCCUUUCCUGACAAGGCUGUCCGUGUGUCUAUCCAGGAGCAAAGGUGUUCUUGCCUGAGCGAACCGUGAAGAAAGGAACCGCUCAGAGCUACAGUGGGUUUGACCUAUCUUUGUUCAUUACAGAAACAGGACAGGUCCAUGUCAUUGGCUACCUUGAGAAAUGUCAGUCAACAAAAAGGGCGGGCCCUUGAACCUGUCACCCAGUGCUUAGCUGGCAUGAUGUAAACCAGUGGGCUAGGUCAGCGGAGGACUCUUCCUAUCCAAACUGUUCUGUUUUUGUUCUACACAAUUUAGAAACCAAAGAACCCACCAGAUCUCAUUCCUUUCCUCCCACCCUCUUCCUCUUCCUUCUCUACUCUCCCCAGAUACAACGUGGGUUCAACCGGUUGAGGGCAUGUGACGCCAACCAGUGUGGAUGUACAUAUGUUUACACCUCAGGCUCAUGUCAUCCAUUUUACAGAUUAUCACUACUUACAGGAAAUAUGGCUGCUCACAUUAAUGGGGAUUGUGAAUGCUGCCUAAAGUUUGUGGUGAAGCACGUGAGGGGGAAGAAGUGGAGAAAGAUAAUAAUUACUUCAUUUUCAAACCUCAAAUAGGUAUACAAAUGUCCCAGAGAGAACAGAUAUAAUGGAUCCGGUCUCCUUUUCUUCAACCCUGACAAUAUUUAUAGCAUAUCCUUGGGUAAAUUUCUUUAGGGUAUAUAUACGCUUAAUUAUUACAGUACUUUACACAUAUAGUAUAAAAGUUCAUUCUCACAAUGUCAAAAAUAUGUAAAUGAGCUACCGUACAUAAAAGGUACCAAGAUAUUUCUAGUCACUUGUGAACAACAUUAAGAAAUAUAGAUGAAAUGCUUCAUGAUGCGAUUUAUUAUGGCUGCGAUUUAACCCAAAUGGUUAUAUUGCACGUAGGCUAAAUGGAAGCACAAAAAUUCAUUUGUAAUAUGUUCUUGGAAAAAGAGGGUUAUAGUCACACUGCAACAUUAACGCUACUUGAAUUCAAACCAUUUUUCCUACUGUAUUAAAUAUUUCCCUGUGUUGGGAGCAAGAUCUUGAAUAGCGAAGCUGGUGCUGUUCACCAAAUGAAAACAGUGAGCUUGUGCUAUUCAUAAAACAGCUGAACAACCACGUUGGUAAUAGAAGACCUCAGAGAGCCAGCAAAAACAAAACCAACAAACAAAAACCCACCAUUGUUUUCUUAAUAAUCAUAAUUCUUUUUUUCCCUGUGUGAUUUUUACCUGCAUAACACUACUCAAAUAAAUUGACAGUUGGACCCCAAAUUACUGUCUUGGCUGCUACGUGGCAUUCUGCAAAUCUCUCAAAACCCCUUACUUAAGUCUGCUUCACCCCCCCCCCCAAAAGCACUUACUUACUCUCUAGAGUGUUACAGGAAUUAGGUGUCCUGGAGCCCACAGCGCCUACGCCUGGUUAGCAGGUUGGAAAGUAAUAAGCACAAUGGAAAGGGAACCUACUUGGUUACCAUGGAUACCUUAGAUCUGAAGAACUCCUAUUUGGGGUGCUCAUCAGCCACUACUUGCACAAAAUCCCUCACGCUGCCUGGACCUGCAUGCGGUCAUAAAUGUUUAACUGCAUCCGUACAGUGUUCUCCAAGUGCUCUGAAAUGGCACAGCCAUGCUGUGGGAAACCAGUCCUUCCCCUGGUGCAUCUGCACUGCCUGCUACCCGUCCAGAGACCUGAAGGUUUUAUUUGGCCAUCCGUUUUGCAGGACUGAGCCAUUUCUGCUAGAUCGCUACAACUGCUUAGCUAGAAUCAGCCCCAAGAUUAAUUUCUGCGGCAAGUCAAUUCACCCUGGGAUGCUACAGCUUACAAAAGGUUUAAAAGCUCUCCCCGCACUGUAGGGGCUCCAACUCUAGUAGUCUGGAUAAGAGGGGCCAGGGAGACUAGUAAGGUACAUAGCCUUUACCUAGUCACGUGAAAGCUUCCAGGGCAUUUCCUCUGCAUGAAUCCCAAAUUACAACCGACUUUUCUCAACAUCUGACCCAUGCAAAGGAAGUUUCAGUGAUAUAUAUAAUAUAUAUGCAUACAUACAUACAUUACAUACAUAGACAUUAGAUCUGUGAAAUCUAAUGAUCCUUGAAGCCAAAGCAGUUAUCUUAAACUCACCAGAGACACAUGUUAGCCCUCUUCCCAGAUGUUCAUUUUAUCCUACAGGAGGAUGGUACAGGCGACUUGGGAGACCAGGCCUUACACUGGUGCCCUGUUUUGGCUUAACGGCUUUAGUAAACCAACAGAAACACUUUGUCCCAUAAAGAUAAUUGCACAACAAAACUUUUAUCUUUUCCAGAUGGCAAAUGGGAUGUCACUCAGUGUGACUUAAUGAUCUGGCCCCCACAGGACUCUCUCUAGAUUCAUUUGCCUGCUCCGCCAGAGUGCCUACUCGUCGACCGCAAUAGGGAGGCUAGUCUCUACACUAAUGAAAGUAAGAGCCAGGCUGUUGUCAGGAGCUGGGCAUGGCUGGAGAGAGGCGUAAACAGGGGCGUGGCUGGAGACGAUUGGUCAUCAGGGACAGCUGGCAAGAUUGUUUAUGUCCUCUACAUUCACCAUCUCUUUCCUCUCCAUGGUCUAUGGUUGCUCUUGUCUUCACCAUUCUCUUGGGAUCUUGACCCACAGCCACAGUUUGACUCUUUCACCCGUGGCCCCUGUUUUAAGUCUUCAGCUCGGCCCUCUCCCCUAAACUCCACAUAUAUAUCUAGUUGGGUGUGUAAGCGUUGCUUCUCCACAUAACCCUUCAUGUUCAUUAUUUUUCUACAGAAUUUUUUUUUUACCUAGUAGGUAUAAUAUCUGUAUCUUAUUUCCUAGCAAACAUUUUCCUUAUUUUUUUUUUAACGUCCUAGAAUACAAGUGACUUCUAACAGCUAACUUCCUCCAUACGUGCACCAUACUGGUUAUUUUAAAAUAGUAUCUUAACGUAAUUUCAGAAAUGCUUACUUUUUCCUUAUAUAGCAUAGUCUCCAUGUUUGCUGCAAGAUUCUGAGAACAGAUAAAUAUCUAGUCCCAAUGUACUUGAAGUCGCAUGGUGGAAUUAGGAAAAUGCUUGUGUAUAAACUGAUUCUCUUCACAAAAUAGGUUGGCAUGGUAGCAUAUCAAGUAUAGUUUAUUCAGAAAAGAGUCACAUAUGUCUUUACUGAAUUCACUCUUUAAGAUUUUGUUUUCCGGGAUAGAAAGAUGGCUCAAGAGUUAAGAGCAUUUGCUCUUUGUUCAGAGGACCCAGGUUCAAUUCCCAGCACCCACAGGUUGACUCACAACCAUAUAUAUAACUCCAAUUCUGGAGACUUUGACAACCUACCCUCUUCUGGCAGACACACACAAGGUACUCAGACAAAAUACCCAUACACAUAAAAUAAAACAAAAACAUUAAAAAUUGCCACAGAUGGGCUGGUGAGAUGGCUCAGUGGGUAAGAGCACCCGACUGCUCUUCCGAAGGUCCAGAGUUCAAAUCCCAGCAACCACAUGGUGGCUCACAACCAUCCAUAACGAGAUCUGACUCCCUCUUCUGGAGUGUGUGAAGACAGCUACAGUGUAUUUACAUAAAAUAAUAAAUAAAUCUUUAAAAAAAAAUUGCCACAGAUACACAAGGUACUUAAAUCAUGCAAAUGGAUACAUUCAUGGAUGAUCGUAGACAGAGGACACUGAAAAUAGUGUUUUGAAAAGGAAAGAAAUGUACUUUCAUAGUGAACUACAUUCAUGGAUCGAUGAACAAAAUAUAAAGAAGUCUGAUUUGCCAAACAGGAGCUCAGUUUUGUCCUCCGUGAUCAGCAAAUAUUUUUUUUUCCUGUAACUGUCGGCUUCCUCUACUCAGUUACUGCCUAAUGAUCUGUUGAAGUGAUACCAUCUCCUUCCCGGUCCGCAGAAGUGCCCUCCCCCACCCACAUGACCAUGCUCCAUCUUCUAGAGCGGCAUCUUAUGCCCGUGACCUUGAACAAAGCCUAAGCGAGAGAGCCUGGUCACUCUGUCUUGAAAGAUUUCCUUUCCAACAUCUGCUGCUUCCUAUUUUGCAAUCUCACUUGCAAACAGUGGUCCUCUUGUCAUAGAUAUUUAUGUGUCUACGUGUCAGGAGCCAAGAGAUUAGCGAGAGCAGCUACUCUUUGGGGUAAUUGAUGACAUAACACUGCAGAAAUACAUUUGAUUUUUUGUUUUUUGUUUUUUGUUUUUUUAAAAAACUUUUAAUUGCAUGGUUUUAAGAAGCCAUUUUGUGAGAUUUGAGUAGACCAUUGUGUGCUUUUCUUUUUCUUCUCCAUUCAAUGAAUUUGAACACAGAAGCUACUAUUUAAUACCUAGAUAUUAAACACACACAUACACACCCAAACCCUCUAUUCAAGGAGCAUGGGGACAAUCAUAGAGGAGUACAGAGACAACCAUAGAGGAGCACAGGGACAACCACAGGGGAGCACGGAGACAACCACAGGGGAGCACGGAGACAACCACAGAGGAGCACAGGGACAACCACAGGGGAGCACAGAGACAACCACAGAGGAGCACGGAAACAACCACAAUGGAUCAUGGAGACAACCACAGAGGAGCAAGGAGAUAACCACAGGGGAGGACAGAGACAACCACAGGGGAGCACAGAGACAACCACAGAGGAGCACGGAAACAACCACAAUGGAUCAUGGAGACAACCACAGGGGAGGACAGAGACAACCACAGGGGAGCACGGAGAAAACCACAGAGGAGCACGGAGACAACCACAGAGGAGCACUGUAACAACUACAGAUGAGCACAGGGAUAACCACAGGGGAGCACGGAGACAACAUUCUGACUCUGGCCUGGCUUUCAGGUGGCUUUGCAUUAAAGGAUCCCCCUUACUGCAAUAGUUAAUAGACUUUUUUAAACCCUUAGAAUGCUGAGUUUUUAGGCUGUAUGUUACUCUCUCGUGGAUUCAAGACAUAAAGGCAAAAACAUAAGGAUGCCUGUUAAAUAUCACAGAGAGAUCGAAGAAACCCAGGAAGGUCCCUAUGGGGGUGGGAGUUGGUCCCCCCCCUUUUUAUUUUUGGAGGAUUUUAUUCUGGAAGAAAAAUAAUCACCACACACACACACACACACACACACACACACACACACGUCUCAGUCCUUCAGAUCGUAUGUAAAACCUAAGUGUAAUUUGCAAAGGAUAAGAGAAGCAAGUUAAACACUUUAUACUUUCAAACCUCAGACCAAGAUAGGAUUACCAAGCUAAACGGCUUCCUUCCUUUCCUUUCCUUUCCUUUCCUUUCCUUUCCUUUCCUUUCCUUUCCUUUCCCUUUUUCCCUUUCCUCCCUCUCCCCCCCCCUCUCUCUCUCUCUCUUUCUCUUUCUUUCUUUCUUUCUUUCUUUCUUUUUCUUUAUGGGAAAGAAUGGGUAAGAACAGUCAUAAAACAUAUAGAUUACUGGGGGAUGAGUCAAAUGACCCAACCUACACACUCAGUCUCUUGAACUGGUGCAUACUAUUGGAAAGGACAUCAAACCAUAAAAAUAACUCAUAUGUCUGUUAUGUUUUUCCAUUUUAAGCUUAUAAUAGCAGUAACGACCUCAGCAAAAGACAUUUCCUUGGAGUUAAUGGCUGGCUGGGAGGCAGAGCCGAGGGCCACUGGUUCUUCCCAGCUGGUCAUUAAUCCCCAGGAAACGCCUGCACCUCCAUCAUUAUUGCUAAAGCACCAUUACAGAAAUUUCUCACAGUUCCAGGGUACGGAAAUCUGAGGCUACUUUGCAAGCCCACGGACUUCAUGGGAGUUAAUAGGCCACCACUGAGCACAGCACACACGUAAUUAUCAAAAUGACAGAAGGGAAAAUAUUGUUCUCCCAGGUCUGUAAGAUUAUAGGGAAUGGGGACUAGCCUUAUGGGAGGGGUAGGGUUGAAGCUAAACCACAUUAAUUUAAAGGCAGAAUAAAAUCGCCUAUAUAAAAAUCAGUUUAAAAAAAAAAAAAAGACAAGGCAGUUUACUCCUAUUACAUAGUCUUAAAAUAUUUUUAAAAGAUACAAAUUAAGGUUCUAUAUACACUUCUUCCUAAUCCAAUAAUGUCAUAUUAAAGAGAAUGGUUAUAAUAAGGAGAGAAUUGUAUACAACCGGUGAAGUUUAAGGGAAUGAGUACCUUUGAGAAUUGGGGGAUAUGUUUGGGAAAAUUCAUAGGCAUUCACCAUUAAAUAUUCAUGCAAACAUUUCACCCUAGACUUUCUGCCUAGAGAAGCAAACCAGAACCUCACUGACCUGAAGUUCUACUUUUUGUCUUAAAUAGAGGCUUAGCAUAUGCAAACAAGUGCCCUGAAAUUUGGAAAUCACAGACACACUCUUAGUGUUCCGCACUACCGAAUUUAGAUAGCUUUUUAGAAAUUCCCAAGCUUACAAGCUUCAUUAAAGACAAAAAUUAGACGCUUUCAAAUCUAUUCAUUCCCCACUUUUAAAACACUGGGCCCAACCACCAGUUCAAAGGAAGGAGGUAAUCUAAAACUCACACCCCAAACAGCCUAUAAAUCUUUCCAACGUGUUCUUAUAACAAACUGCAAAUGUUGGCCACAAUGCUUUAGAUUUAAUGAAACCCCUUGUACGUUCUCCUGGUGGGUUACAAAUACCUGCCUUAUUCUAAGUGAGCUUGAAGCUGAGGAGGCCUGGCACAGGUGACAUUGCAUCCCUAAGAAGAUUUCUUGAAGUUCUAACUCAUGUUGCAUCUACAGGAGUGAAGCCUUACUUGGGAACAGGGUCUUUGAAUUCAUAGUCAAGAUAGGGUUACUAGGGAUCCUAAGGGGGGAGGGGCGUUUAGAAUACAAGCCUGCAAGACCUCCCUUGGCAACAAAGUAUACAGAGCAUGGCCACACCUUAACAGAGUGGGGUGCCCAAAAACUAAGGAACAUUAAUAAUUAUGAAUGAUCAGGAAAUUGAUUCUCACAUAGAAGCUUGUCGAGUAUACGGCCCCACACCUGUAAUGCCAGCAUUUGGGAGGCUCAGUAAGAUCACUGCAAAUUCAAGGCUAACCUGGGUGAAGAUCUUGUCAGAAACAGGAGAAAGAGACAGACAGACACAGACACACAGACACACACACAGGACGGGGCAGGGGGACAGAAAGAGGCACGCAGAGAGAGAGAGAGAGAGAGAGAGAUCAUGCAUUACUGGCUUCUGGAGAGCAGCAUGACCCUGUAAAAACCCAAUUUCUACUUCCCAGAAAUGUGAGAGAGAGAGAGAGGGAGAGAGAGAGAGAGAGUUUCUAUUGUGCAAAGGCACCCAGGCAUGCAGUACUUUGUUACAUCAACCCUCAGAAAACGUAAUACAGGACUUGGGGAUUGGGGUGGGAGAGGGGGAACCAGGGCCAACAUUACAAAUGGUAAUGGAGGAAAAGUCAGAAAGUCAGGCCAACAAGUUGAAGCCAUUCAUUAGUUAAGGGGAAAAGCAACGGACUGGCAGUCAGGAAACCUGGCUCCCGUCGGGAUAAUGACUGACGCUUGCGACCAGGAGCUGGACACUUAAUUGCUCUCUGCUUUGACACUGUCAUCUGCAGAACAUGAGAAGCUGGGACUCCAUAAGCUACGGACCAAAUCCAGGCUCCUAUCUGGGGAAGCGGAACACGAAUCAGAGCAGCAUUUUAAUGCUUUCACAGUUUCCAGUUUUGGCACCGCGGGGUGGGGGCGGGGGCCUCAGUGACAGGACACAGGAACACAGCUGCGUCUUCAUCUGCCACCAGCCAGGUCCGCACCGGCAGGCUGCACACAUUCAUGUGAACCCGGUAAGAACGGAAGAAGCCUGCCAUGAAAUAACAGCACGCUGCUCUGGUACUGGUUUAUGGAUGUUUGAAAUGCUAGGUUUGCUUGCUUGUUUGUUUCCGUUACUAAUAUAUAAUAAAUAUAUAUAAUUAGUUAAAUAAAUGUAUAUGCAUAUAUAUAUUUGAACAUUAUUUGUCAUUAAGAAAUAUUUUCUUGGGGCUGGUGAGAUGGCUCAGUGGGUAAGAGCACCCGACUGCUCUUCCGAAGGUCCAAAGUUCAAAUCCCAGCAACCACAUGGUGGCUCACAACCAUCCGCAACAAGAUCUGACUCCCUCUUCUGGUGUGUCUGAAGACAGCUACAGUGUACUUACAUAUAUUAAUAAAAUAAAUCUUUAAAAAAAAAAAAAGAAAUAUUUUCUUAAGCUGGGCGGGGUAGCGCACACCUGUAAUCCCAGCACUUGGGAGGCAGAGGCAGGUGGAUUUCUGAGUACUGGCCAGCCUGGUGUACAGAGUGAGUUCCAGGACAGCCAGGGCUACACAGAAAAACCCUGGCUCGGAAAAAACAAAAACAAAAACAACAACAAAAAAAAAGAAAUGUUUUCUUUUAAAGUGCCAGUAGGAAUAGUAUUAGCCCAAAGAGGAAAAAUAAAAUCACUCUUGUAGAAUACCAUGGAGUAGGGAUUCAGGCUCCAAUAGGGCACUGGGUAUAUUAUUCUCUAUGUAUCUACAUAUUCUCUAAAGGGCCUGCAUAGUAAUUACUUAUGGAGAUGGUUCAUUAUAUUCAGGUAUAAUCGCUGUCAUCUAACUACUGAAACCCCAGACAUGACCAGUAGAAUACAGAGGGUCUUUCCAUUCUAAAGUGGUAACGUCAGGCUAAGGCUUUGCUUCAGGUGUACGAGUGUGUGCGAACAUGCAUGCAUGUAUAACAUAUGUGUUCUGCGCACAUGCGUGUGUGUGUGUGUGUGUGUGUGUGUGUGUGUGUGUGUGUGUGUGUAUGCACGUGUGCACAUAAAAAGAUGCAUGUAGGGAGACCCACGGCAGUGAUAGUGUUGCCUACUGCAGGUGCUCCUAACAAUGUCAAGGUGAUGAGGUUUGCCUGCAGUCCACGCUAGAGACUGGGUUAGAUGAUCACGGUACAAUUAAGAGGGUAGUUUGCCCACCAAAUAUCUCUUUAUGUGGACACAUCUAUCUAUCUAUCUAUCUAUCUAUCUAUCUAUCUAUCUAUCUAUCUAUCUAUCUAUCUAGAUUUGAGGGUUGGCAAUCAAACCCCAAAGCUCUGCACCUUCUAUGCCCAUGAUUAACCACGGAGCUACAUCCCCAGCUUCUAAGUGCACGACUUUGAAGACAGACUUGAACGUAACCCAAAAGACAAACAGGUACUCAACGAGGCGCGGUGCGUGUGGCCUCAGGAAAAGCAGGUGUGUGCUGCACUUCUGUGCCAGUUUCCCUCCUUGGCCUCUCAAAUUGGCACGACUCUUAAUGCAGUAAAGUAGAGCUUACUCCAGGCAAGUCAGAAGCUGUGUGCCAAGCCCACCUAUGAUUCUGCUUGGGCUAGCCAGCUAUUCAUAAGAAGGAAAUCUCAAAAAUCACCCAUACAGCCACAGGUAGGAAACACGGGCCCCUCUGCCAACGCUUGACAGCCAGGCCACGUUCUAGGAUAUUUAAAAGACAUGACGUAUCUCCAUGUCUGUGGAAACUGGCGAAGUUGAAAAUUCUCAAGUAACUAUUUUAAAAGACGGCGCUUCUGGUGAUAUAUUUCUGAACCUAUACGUGGGAUAAAAGUAGUUCACAGCAUCAUCUUUACACAGACACACACAAAUAAUUACAUGCAGAGCUGGGAACCCAGAGUAUGAUAGCUAGGAGGUUUGGUUAACAGCAACAUCCUAGUUGAGAGAGUGUCACUACAGUUUAUACAGGCCAGAGCAUCAUCGUUCAGUAGUAGAGGCUUUGGGCUGAUCCCCAGAGCUGCAGAGAAAAAUAGGAGAGAGAAAAAGGCACCAGGGUGAGGGAGCUGGACAAAAAUAUACACGGCAUUUCUUACAACUACAUGUGAGAGUCUCCAGGAAGACAAGGAUUGUCUGGCUGAAUUUUGGAGGAACAGGGGGAAGAAGAAAUAAAGGCAAGAAAGCCACUUGAACAAAUAUCCACAGGCAAGACUAUCAAAAGAUUCUCUUCCAACUCAAUGCUUUCCAUAUCUAGGAACCUGGAGGAAUGUAGAAGGCUUUUCUACUUGGGGGUAUGUGUGUAUGAUGUAUAUGUGUGUGUGUUUGUGUGUGUAUGUGUAUAUGUGUGUAUGUAUGUGCUUGUGUCUGUAUUUGUGUAUGUGUGUGUAUUUGUGUAUGUGUGUGUAGGAGUGAAUAAAACACAAACAAUAUAGGCAAAACACAGGAUGUCUCAGAAAUGAUACCAAAUCAGCUAUUUUUUUUAAUAAAAUGUGUUCUCAAAUGCCAUGAUAUUAUGCAGAUCUUAGAGAUGCUGCAUUAAGUUAAAACUCAUUCGUCCCGACAAAAAUCUUUUUAAGAUCCUUUAGCCCAAUUAUAAAGCCAGAGCAAUGACCUUUCCUGGGUUGGCUACCUGGGACUGUAUCCACACACAUUUGCCUCAGCUUUCUCAUGGGAAUUCCAGUUGGGGGACCUAGGGCUGGGGGGGGAGGGGGGGGGGUUGUGCUCACAUUUGAGGGUUUCUACUUCAGAUCCCAAGAGAGACAGAAAAACAAGUCAAUUUAUUGAGUGUUCACUAGGUGCCAAGCACUGUGCAUUGAGCUGUCCAGACCAGGAAGGGUGGGCCCCGUGUGUGGUGAGGAUACAGGCUCAGGCCCCAGACAUAACAUCACCCUACCACCCUGCCUGUUCCCAAUCACUGGCUUGGGAGGCCAGAAACAAUUCAAUGAUUCAAUGACUAAGGUCACGGACAAUCAUGAAAGAAAAGGCCUCAGGGAGGCAGCCCCCAGGACUCUCUUAAAGACAGCUGCCCCCUGACAGCUGGUUCUCCCAGGAUGUAAGAGCAUGCAAAGAGACUGCAGGAGCACUGAACCAAAUUCUAUUUAGAAUACCCAAAUGUAUAUAUGAUCAGGGCCGAAGUUAAUGCGAAACAAGCCUAAGUUGAGUAACCAACCCCCUCAAAAAAUAUAUAUGUAGAGGAAGGACACUUGUUGUGUGAGCCCUGGCUGUACAAUUAGUGGCUUUCAAAUAUAGAAGCAAGAGCGCUUACAAAUAUUCUUUAAGCGUUACGGUGUUUAGCACACUCUCUUUUAUCCCCAGUUUUAGUCUGGGUGGAUUCAGCUGAAGGAUUCAGUUUUAUCGCAGGUCUCCUCAGCUUACCAACCUUCUUCCUUCCCAACCUUCCCACUUAAAGAAUAUGCCUCUAUAGACGUGGCUAUACCUUUUUGUCUGGAGUCCCUACAACUGUCUGGUCACUUUCACUCCAAACAACCUUUAAUGGGCCAAGCCGUUUCCUCCUCGGUCAGAUAUGCCUACAUGUUCUAGAAGAAUGUGACAGCUACUACCUCAGGAGGUGAAGUUCUCCAAGUCUUCCUUCCCACGUUCACCACUCAUCUCUCUCAUUCCCACUAACAUCACUUGGCCCUUUCUAACGCACAAGUGGCACCUCCAGUGCCAGAACUUUAACCUUCUAAUAACAAAUGCAGAUGGAAAUGAAGUAUGAGUUAAUGCUGCCUAACUUGGGGGUGGGGAGGCUGUAGAGGUGGCUAAAAAGCUAGGGACAGUGGCUGUUCUUGCAGAAGACCUGGGUUUGGUUUCUUUGCACCCACACGGUGGCUCACGACUCCAGCUCCACGGGAUCUGACACCCUCUCUGGCCUCUGCAGGGCUCACAAGGCUCACAAGGGGAAGUCUACCAUGCAUGUGUACAGGCAAAAAGAUCCAUGCACAUGAAACAAAUACCUUCGAUGGGAAACAAGGGUGAGGGUGAAGAUUUUGAGCAAAGUUUUGAAGCUUACAUGGGUGACGCAACCAAGUCCAUUCUUUUGUUGUACAAUAGUGUUUUUAUGGUUGAGACUUACUAGCAUCUCUUUAGGAUUAUAUGUGUUCCAAGAGUUGUAAUUUAGGAGGACACAGAAGGAACAACUGUCAUCCCCAGGUAUGAUAUGAACAGGUUGGACUGGAGAGAUGGCUCAGUGGUUAACUAAGAACACCAACUGCUCUUCCAAAGGUCCUGAAUUCAAUUCCCAGCACCCACAUGGUGGCUCACAACCAUCUGUAAUGGGAGCUGAUGCUGUCUGAUGCUGUCUUCUGUCAUGAAGGCUUACAGGCAAAUAGAGUGCUCAUGUACAUAAAUAAGUGACUCUUUAAAAAUUAACAUCCAAACCAUAAAGCUAGAAACUCAUUAGGUCAGAAGCCAGCCAGAUAAAAUUUUCACUUCAAAUAUGUAUCAGCAGAUUGGAAAAAACGAGACUUAAAAAUGCCUGGGAUGUUAUGUGAAAAGGGAAAACUAAUUUGAUGCAUACCCACGGCUUUUAAUCACAAUGACACAAGUCACACCAUCCUGAGCAUCCCUUGGGAAGGAGGCUACUGCACAGGUAUCAACAAUGGCAUGUCCCAGAUACUGUUGUAAAUAUUUAAGAGAUCUGCCUGGGAAAGAUGUGAGAUGGACUCAUGGUACCUGAGCACAGGUAACCAGCCAUGUGGCAAAAUGUAGAUUAAAAUGAAUGGCUUAUUUUAGUUCUGAUUAGUCAGAGCAGAGCCUAACUAUAUGCCCAAAGUAUUUAUAAGUAUAUCUUGAAUCUGAGUCUUAUUUCUCGGAGCAUGGGGCUGGAAGGAAGAACUUGGCAUAACUUCUACAUCCAGAAGAAGAAAAUUAGGUUCAUAAAUGUAUACACACAUACACGCACACAUACAAACACACAUGCAUACACACACACACACACACACACAUAUAUAUACACACACACAUAUACACAUACGUAUAUGCAUACAAAUAUGCAUACAUGUACACAUAUACACACACACACACAUAUAUAUACACACAUACACACAUAUAUACAUAUAUACACAUAUACACACAUACACACACAUAUAUAUACACACAUACACACAUAUAUACAUAUAUACACAUAUACACACAUACACAAACACACACACAGGCUAGCACUUGAAGAGUGUUAAUAAAAAAUGCUUUCUGCAUUCAACUACCUCCCUAUAAAACAUUGGUAGUAUACCCACUACCUCUCUACAUCCAUGUAAAUUAUAUAAGAUGCCCAUGGAAGAUUUCCCCCCCUUUUCUUUAAUGUCAUGCUAGUACUAAAGUGUAUCGGUAAGGGAACGGAACACAAAUAGGGCAUUGGAAUGAGUUUCUGUCUACAACAUGAGAAACUACCUUAGAAAACUGUUUUGUGAGGUUUAAACCAACAGUGAGUUCAUCUUUUGGGAGAUAAUCCAAAAUUGGGUCAAAAAGUCCUUUCAAGGGGCUGAGCUCAAAUCUAUUUUAGAAAGCAGACUGCCAUUUCCAGAAGUGAAGAGGCAGAGGCUGAAGUGACACGAGGCGCAAUCCUUUGGGGGCCUGUGAAAUAGACCUAUCACCAACUUACCAAGCCUCGAAACGUAAGCUCGCAUUUGAAACUAAUUGGGGGCAGUGCUUUAGUGACUGCAGGUUGUGUGCACUUAAACCCAGCACUCAGGAGGCAGAGGAGGGCAGAUUUCUGAGUUCGAGGCCAGCCUGGUCUACAAAGUGAGUUCCAGGACAGCCAGGGCUAUACAGAGAAACCCUGUCUAGGAAAAGAAAACAAACAAACAAACAAACAAAAACCCCACAAACCGUCAGAUUUAAGAGAAAUCGAAAAGCCGAAGAAUGAAUGCCCACCUACAUUCAGAGAGCUUGCUUUAUAACAUAGAACUUAUGUACAGUAAAGAAAAACUGCAUUCUAGAUGCUAAAUAUUAAAUAUUGCUUUGGCCUGAAAUGGAAUAAAUGCCAAGAACUAGAGCGAACGUAUGCACGCUUGCCGGACAAAGCUGCUCGUGUAUGUCUUCUCCUCACGGGGCUCCUCACACCAAUGAGAAAGCUUUGUCGUGUACGCAUGGGCCUGGCGGCUGGCGACAGUGAGUGACUUGCUAUCUGAGCCCAGGCAGGCUAUUAAUGACUCUGUCUGCUCAGUUCUCUCCUGUCUCCAGUGCUACAGGUCAGAGGUCAAACAUACAGGCCUAUGUGCUCACCUGUUCACACACAUAUAUAUAUGUAUUCAUCACGAGCUAGGAUCUGCAUAUGAGAGAGAACGUGUGAUUUUCUUUCUGGGUUACAAGUCCAUCCAUAUUCCUGCAAAUUCUACAACUUCAUUUUUCUUCACAAGUGGAUAAUAUUCCAUUGUGUUAAGUGUAGCACACUUUCAGUAUCCACUCCUCUGUUGACGGACAUUUGGCUUGUUCCAUCUUGCUAUUUUAGGUAGAGUGGAAGUAAACGUCAACUAUAUCUACUGGUAAGACAUGGAAUAUUCUUGUGCAACAGCUGGGUGGUGUGGAAGCUCUGAUGGUUUUUUAAAAGCAUAUUAUUAUUGAAAGUUUUUAAGGGAAAAUAAAUGAUCUUGUAUUUACCAAUUCCAUUUAGCUGACUUCAAAAAAAAAAAGUUAUAUAUCAAGGUUGUUUUGUUCCCUCUGACCCCCAUUCAACCUUAAAAUUGUCUGCAUUCUGACUACUGGAUAACUCUUCCUAAACAUUGAAGUUAUAUUUCAAGUUAUAUUUCAAGGCAAGUGUUGUUACAAUGGGUACAAGUUUUUCAAAAGGAAGCAUACAUCUGGAGAGUAAAGAAAUGGAAAUGGAGACCUUUUCUGUCAAGUAGAUUUCCAGGUUCUUCAGCACAUGGGUGCUUAGAAUCCUUGAAAGGAAACAGUUUCCGUUGGUCUGAUGAGAUCCAAAUUUAUUUUGAGUUAGUAUCUCCUGCUAGGUCCUCAAAUCAUCACUUAUGUUAUGAGAUGGCUACAAAACAGGCAAGACAAAAACUCCCUUCUUGUUGAUCUAGACUCUUCAAAUGUGUGACUAACAAACGAAAUGACAUCACUUUCCUGUGUGCCGCAAGCUCUUUUUAAUAAAAGUAAAUGCCCCUGGAAGGAGGCGAAGUGGAAAUGUAUAUUUUUAACUUAACAUCCUGCACACACCCCAUUGCCAAAUAAAGACUAUCAGCAGCCAAGGAAACAGCUGGGACUGUUAGUGACUUUCUAGUGACCCUCUAAAGUCGGCACCUGAUCCUUGGGUCAGUUUCUGGGUCAAUUUUAUGAUCUCCAGAAUAUUUUUUUUCCUUUUGAAAAAAGUAAGCAUUAAUUUCUAUUAAGGUGUAUUUUUCUCUCUUGAAAAGGUUCUAAAAAUAGACCAGGUAAAGGCACUGCUAGUCUUCGCCCUCUUAUUCCAUGUGCUAUUCCCUUGCUUCUCUUCUCCCAGAGGCCCUACUGGCCUUCCUAAGAAACAUCUGGAUGGUAUGCUUCUCAAGUGAAGAGAGCAUCUUUCCUAUUUCCUUAUGUUCCUGAGCCUGAAUCCCACAUUCUCAGAUGUUUUCUAAACAUUUUCUGUCUCUGGACCAGUUCAAUGAUAAGCGCCUCUUCAAGGCAAAAUGGAGACACACAGGUCCUACCUGAAUGUUGUGGGUAAGAGAACUGACUACUGGGAUGAUACAGAUGCUCUGAGAACUAGAACUGUCAAGUUUCUACACGUACAUACUAGGUAAACAGCAUACAAAGUACUUCUCAAAUUAAAUUAAGGCACAACAUCAAACUUCUACUAUAAAGAGAAAGGGUUUUGGCAUCAAUGUAAAAAAAUUUUCCCUGAGUGUGAACAGACAUAAAACCUAGUUUAACAUCACCAGUAAGCAAGUCUUAACCUUCAUGAUAAGCAAUAGACACACGCUGAAGACUCGGUACACCAAGGGAAUGUGGUCAGCAUGGAGUGUGAUUCUCACUGGGCCUCAUGCUGUGUAUAAUUGAAGUGCAGGCUGUAGUUAGCGUUAAGGGGGGAGCAUGCCAAUGUGUUAAAUAUGAUCUCUAAUGUUUACCAAGCACCACACCUUGGGAGUUGGACUGAGCCUUCGCACACUUCUCACUUAACACUCACACAAAUUCUGAGACUCGUACCUUGUCCAGAGGAGAAAUGGAGCCUUGGGAUGAUCACAUAAUUUGUUUAAGAUGAUACUUAGUUGAGUGGUGGGUCAAAAACUUGAACCCCCAAGCCCCCCAAACCCUGCUCCUUGGCCUUGGCUAUGAAGGAAAUGUAAGUUCUGUUCUCUCACUUCUUAUUUGCAUACACAGAGACUGAAAAUCCAGAAAACUAUCAAAAUUAUAAAUCUGCAAACUAUUCAAACCAGCAGCAGAAGAGACCAAAGGAAGCAAUGGACAAUAGUGGUCCUAACCAUCUCUAGUCAAGAUGCUCAUGGGGUCACUGGACCCUCCAGAGUCCUUCUAGCCAUCUCUAGUUAAGAUACUCAUGGGAUCACUGGACCCACCACUUCCUCAUCCUUUCUAAGGGGCAGAGCUCUCUUCAGGUUCACACAUUUUUGGCAAACCAACUCUUGAUUAAAUACCCAACUACUGAUCCUCAUUAGAUUAAACGCUCUUUUCCAGGCAGGUUAUGUAGGUUUGUAAGAUUAACAAGACAAGGGUGCGUAUCUGAGGCCAAAUUUAUGAUGCAGCAUCUGAGAGGGAUCCAACACUUGUCAUGAUUGGUAAAAUACCCAAGGAAGGAGUCAAGGCUGAGAACAAGGGUCAUAUUAAUUUGAAUGGGAUGGGCAGGGAAUUCUGUGGUGCAGUUUAAGAAGCAAACAGCAACAAUAAACUAAUGAAAGCCUGUGGGGAACAGCCCAGUCUGUCAGGGAGGUAGAUGAGGGUCCAGAUGGGUGAUAGUCAAGUGUGCGCACGCGCGCGCGCACACACACACACACACUGGUAAAUGAAGGCUGAAGACGUGAUCUGUGUGUUCCAGCAGCAGAUGUGGGGGUGGGGUGUCUACUGAAAAAGGUCAGUUGCUACUUUACUCCAGAAUUUUGUUGUUGAUAAGAACACAUUCUCGGUUAGAAAUCCUCAGCUUGGCUCCACCCCAUCCUGACUACCACAGUGUACUUUUCUCUCUCAUUUCCUCUUCCCCAUUCCUUAAUUACACACAAUGUAAUCAGUGUGUGUGCACAAGCAUAUUGUUCUUUUUUUUUUUCUUUAUUUCUUUAACUAAAUGACAUAUGCUCUUUUUUGGUCUCCAUCCAUUGGAGAUGGUCUGGGGAGAGUCAUGGAGUUCUGUGAAAAUAUUCCCUUUCGCUACUGGUAGCAUGCCCAUCAUAGCACCCAUAUCUUAGUAAUCCAAGUGGGCUGUUUUGCUCUCAUUGAUUCAAUUAAAAAUAAUCUCAACAGUACAGAACUACCUGCCUACCUUGUUUACUUGGAGAACUUUAAUGUUUUUCACUUAUUAUGGAAACCAAAGCCAAUCUUGUAACUUUUCUGUAUAUAAAUGUUACAAGCGUGAUGAUCUGCCUUGAGAAGGGGUAAACUCCACGGGAAAAAGAAUGGAUCCUGGAACUCCCUUUGAGUCAAGCGUCUUGUUUUUUAAAUAAACUUCUUGUUUUUAAAAAAAAAAAAAAGAUUCAUAGGAUUUUGUUUUUUCUCAAAAGAACUUUAAAACAAAACCUCCAAGAAUAAAGGGAACAAACAAUCUGGUCUCUAAGUCAAAUACGAAGACAAUCCAGUGAGUCCAAAGCUGGAUCUCCAACUCAAGGACAUCGGUGAAUUCAACUGUUGGAAGAGGAGUCAUCCCUGCAUAGAGCACAAGCCCGUUUCCUAUGGGGACUGCUGUGGUUUACUUCUGCAUACAAACUUCCCAGGAAGUAAGGCCUCGCUAUGACUGAUCGCACAAGUCACCAGCAGAAGAUAUCCAAGCAAAGAGGAAACACGUUGUCUAGAAAAAAUAUACCAUUUCCUUUGAUUUCCUCUCCUAAGUGGAGGGACUCUUCUUCCAAGACCAGAUCAGGGACUUGCUAACCACAAAACAUUCCAUUCUUCCAGCCAGGAAAAAUGAGAGACCAGAAUGUUUCAGAGAAGAGCAGACAUGACUAAGACCUGUGGAGGUUGACUCAAGAACCUGAGAGCGUACUCCAAAGGUGGUGGGUAUGAAAAGCAGGGGGUUACUUGCCAGAAGGUAUUUGCCUAGUUAAUUUCCUCUGUAACUGCUUACAGCUUAUUUCAUUUUAGUCUUACUAAUCUUGACUUCAAAGAUCUUUGACUGACUAUUAGAAAAAGUAUACAGGUCUUUCUUGUUGUGUCAUCAGCAGGACUAGGUGUGCAUUCAGAGUCCAGAUACUCAGGAAAUAUCAGGCAGGCCUGCAGUUAGCCUGUAUGACUUAGUGACAUGUCAGCACUGGGCUGGCUACAGUUGAACAGCAGUGGUAUUUUCUGAUUUCCAGGAGCAAGUUUCUGAUUCCUUCCCAGCAACUGAACCGUGAGUGCUGAUAAGAAGUCGGACACCAUCAGACUAGAGAGAGAGACCAUCAGACUAUAGUGUGAGCCAUCUGGGGACACUCACAGGGAGAUUGAAGACUCCUUUGGUGUGGCAAGAGAAAGGAAGGAAGGAGGAAACAUGCUGUGAAAUUGUGGAGCCGAAUGGUAAGGAGUUAUCAUAAGUCCCCCGGGCCUUGGUCUUACAAGGCUUAUCAAGUCAGAAAUUACCAAGUCACACCAUCCAUGAGGAAAACAAAAACAAAAACUAUUGUUUUCAUUUUAGCUUUUAAGACACUCUUUUCCUGUUAAGCACGGGAACUAUAUCUCCUUACUCACCCAUUUCCUAGGUCUGCCUCUUGGCCGUUUUUCUCCAAUGGUCUCUGCUUUCUGCAAAAUGAAAAAGAAAAAAGAAAAGAAGAAGCCAUGUAGUCUCCUGCCUGGCAUUGUUUACAAGCACUGUACCAAGGAAUACAUUCCCAGCUAGAAUGGUCCGGACUGCAGGUGAGGCAUCAAGAAUGUCUUAGCAACCUCCUUCUCUUGUACACUUCAUUCCUCUGGUUUUCGGUGGCUGCUGCUUCUUCACUGUUUGCUGCAUGCUAUAAAGAGGUAUCUAUGCAACCCCUCACCAUAAAAGACUCCCGCGGAGUGACCUCCUCUGAAAUUCAUGAAUAUGCUUUUGUUAAAUCCAUUUCGCCUUUGUUUCUGAUUAUACAAAAGAAAUAUUCCCACAUCCCAUAAUUUAUGCAAAUUAGUAUUUUACAGAACGAACAUUCCCUCAGUGGUCAAGACACUCCUUUUGCAACCAGUUAGAAAAAUUGAUGUGGACAUAUUAAUUUUAAAUAAUAAAACAGUUCUCUCUGCAUUA
Molecule: long non-coding RNA, 20708 nt
Organism: Mus musculus (house mouse)
Lineage: Eukaryota; Metazoa; Chordata; Mammalia; Rodentia; Muridae
Product: predicted gene, 51785
Exons: 3
Source: RefSeq, a predicted model, not a curated record